ACUCUUUUCUCUAAUACCUUGCUAAUAUACCUAUGCUCGCUAAGAGUGGAGUUGUUAUUUAUGUUAAUAGAACUUCCUAAGAAGUAAUCUAGCUUUACAUGAAUGGUUCAACUUAAGGAGAGUGCAUGUCAUGUUGGAGUCGUAUGUUGCUAUGAGUCUUCAUCUUAGAGGUGUCAAAGUUCCCUAUUGAAUAAUUGUAAGCUAAUGUGGUUUCUUAUUGAUUUAUUGCCUUUAAAUCAUUUAUCCUUUCUUUCAUUCAUUCUUCUUUACUUUUCCUUUCCCCUCUUAAGACUUUGCCUGCAAUGGUGUGUUAUUCUCUACUUUUAUCACCUUUUGAUUCUCUCCUUCUAUCAUCGCGUUUUGGAGCUUUCCGUUGGCUACUUGAAUGUUGUUUACAAUUUUUUAUUUUUUUUUUUUUUUUCCUGACAUUACCCAGAUUCAAUGCCAACUAUCAGGGUUUUUGCUAUUCUCAUUUCAUUUUUAAUAUUUUCUUUAAUAAGGCUCAUAUCCAAUAACUUCAUAAAACAAUUCUACUUCUUAUAUCUUAUGCUGCUAGAUUUUUUUUUUUAAAUGGAUGAAGAACCUUUGUAAACACAUAGGGCACCGCGUGUAAUUCUGUUGUGGGUCAUGGUGCAGGUUUACUAUCCAAUUUUGAAUUGAAAUGUUUGAUUUUGAAGACAUUAUGACUAUCUAUUUUUUUUCUACAAUUUGUCGUUAACCCGUUUCUGCCUGAACUUUCAUAUGGAUUAGUUGCUUUGAUUAUUUAAAUUUAAAAUUAUACUGCCCUCUUCCAUUUACUUAAUACUUAAUAUAUCUUGGGUUUUUUCUGUUGCCAUUUUGUCAAGUAGAAUUUCCAGCAACUGGUGUUGUGCUUGAUCAGUUUGAAUCAUUUUGUUUUCAGUAGGUCCUUUCGAAAGGCAAAGUCGUGAAGAACUAAAGAAGUCCAUAAUGGAGCUUAUAGUUCUAGUUUCAAACAUUAUCCACACACCAGCGUAGGUAAGAGCAACGAACCAAUAAAAAAGUUUGGAGGAAAGAGGUUGCUGCCAAGGGGAGCUACAAUCCAAGUGGAUUGGGCAUAGACAACCACUUGGAUUGUAUGUUUAGAAUAAUUUCUCUGAAAUAUUAGUUUUAUUUGAUGAUUAUGUAAAUAUUAAGUCUUUGUAUGGAUUUCUUUCAUGUUAAUACUUUUGGAUGAUAUAAUUAUUAACUGUUGUUUGGUUAGAUCUAGUAAUGUGUAAGAACAGGGUCAUUAUACUAUGCAUGCCAGCAAAAUGAAAAUUUUUUUUUCUA
Molecule: long non-coding RNA, 1290 nt
Organism: Macadamia integrifolia
Lineage: Eukaryota; Viridiplantae; Streptophyta; Magnoliopsida; Proteales; Proteaceae
Exons: 3
Source: RefSeq, a predicted model, not a curated record